CGUCCAAUGGACGAUAUCACAGCAAUCACAAUGAGAAGAAUACAUCUAGAUACUCUUUUCAUUGGUUUCUGUGAAAUCGUAUUUGAAUG
MicroRNA precursor from Caenorhabditis elegans, 89 nucleotides. NCBI's taxonomy places the organism in Eukaryota, Metazoa, Nematoda, Chromadorea, Rhabditida, Rhabditidae. The record is from Ensembl.